RNAcentral lists this RNase P RNA (169 nucleotides) under Flavobacteriia bacterium. RNAcentral's name for it is "partial RNase P RNA component class A". It matches the Rfam family "Bacterial RNase P class A", at positions 203 to 367 of the family's 367-position model. From Rfam's summary of the family: Ribonuclease P (RNase P) is a ubiquitous endoribonuclease, found in archaea, bacteria and eukarya as well as chloroplasts and mitochondria. Its best characterised activity is the generation of mature 5'-ends of tRNAs by cleaving the 5'-leader elements of precursor-tRNAs. The record is from RNAcentral. Lineage: Bacteria; Pseudomonadati; Bacteroidota; Flavobacteriia.
GCGGUAACCUCCACCCGGAGCAAUUCCAAAUAGGCACGCGAUGAUGUUGCUCGCGGAGCGUGCGGGUAGGAAGCUUGAGCGCCGGAGUAAUUCGGCGCCUAGAGGAAUGGCUGUCACGCCUACUGAAAGGUAGGUGCUACAGAAUCCGGCCUAUCGGGCGGCUUCACAU